This 201-nucleotide unclassified non-coding RNA is filed under the name soil metagenome. RNAcentral's name for it is "partial contains small subunit ribosomal RNA, internal transcribed spacer 1, and 5.8S ribosomal RNA". The record is from RNAcentral.
UAACCGUAAGUGAACCUGCGGAAGGAUCAUUAACAAAUCAGUUGUAUGGCUUAGGCUAUACAUAUUCACCCCAAGCCUGCUUGUCAGGCUUUGGUAGGCUAGUGUGCUUCGGCGUACUGGCCACAUAGACGCUUGUAUUGUUUGACAGAGUUUAGUUGCAUCAAAAAAUGACAACUUUUAACAAUGGAUCUCUUGGCUCUU